CGGAACAGGCGGCCGCUGGUUGCCGGCGUCGGCCGGAGGCCUUGCGUCUUCGUUCGAUGGCCGGCGACGGGAGGAAAGUCCGGGCACCGCAAGACACGAUGGUGGGUAACGCCCACCGGCCGAAAGGCUAGGGAAAGUGCAACAGAAAGUAAACCGCCUCGUCGCGGGCUUGUCCUGCGGCGCGGUAAGGGUGAAACGGUAGGGUAAGAGCCUACCAGCAGGUCGGGCGACCGGCCUGGCUCGGCAAACCCCAUCGGGUGCAAGGUCAAAUAGGGAGCAUUCUGCCGGUGUUGAGCCGGCGGAGCGGAUAGUCUUGGCCGCUAUCGACUCCCGGGUAGGCCGCUCGAGGCGGCGAGCAAUCGUCGUCCUAGACAAAUGGUCGCCGUCCUUCUCCGGUGUAAAUCGGCAGUGCCGUUGU
RNAcentral lists this RNase P RNA (418 nucleotides) under Planctomycetota bacterium. RNAcentral's name for it is "Planctomycetes bacterium (sediment metagenome) RNase P RNA component class A". It matches the Rfam family "Bacterial RNase P class A", at positions 12 to 328 of the family's 367-position model. From Rfam's summary of the family: Ribonuclease P (RNase P) is a ubiquitous endoribonuclease, found in archaea, bacteria and eukarya as well as chloroplasts and mitochondria. Its best characterised activity is the generation of mature 5'-ends of tRNAs by cleaving the 5'-leader elements of precursor-tRNAs. Cellular RNase Ps are ribonucleoproteins. The record is from RNAcentral. Lineage: Bacteria; Pseudomonadati; Planctomycetota.